RNAcentral lists this ribosomal RNA (492 nucleotides) under uncultured bacterium. RNAcentral's name for it is "partial 16S ribosomal RNA". It matches the Rfam family "Bacterial small subunit ribosomal RNA", at positions 29 to 507 of the family's 1533-position model. The record is from RNAcentral.
AGUGAACGCUGGCGGCAUGCCUAACACAUGCAAGUCGAACGGCAGCACAGUAAGAGCUUGCUCUUACGGGUGGCGAGUGGCGGACGGGUGAGGAAUACAUCGGAAUCUACUUUUUCGUGGGGGAUAACGUAGGGAAACUUACGCUAAUACCGCAUACGACCUACGGGUGAAAGCAGGGGAUCUUCGGACCUUGCGCGAUUGAAUGAGCCGAUGUCGGAUUAGCUAGUUGGCGGGGUAAAGGCCCACCAAGGCGACGAUCCGUAGCUGGUAUGAGAGGAUGAUCAGCCACACUGGAACUGAGACACGGUCCAGACUCCUACGGGAGGAAGCAGUGGGGAAUAUUGGACAAUGGGCGCAAGCCUGAUCCAGCCAUACCGCGUGGGUGAAGAAGGCCUUCGGGUUGUAAAGCCCUUUUGUUGGGAAAGAAAAGCAGCAGGUUAAUACGCCGCUGUUCUGACGGUACCCAAAGAAUAAGCACCGGCUAACUUCGUG